UUACCCUCCUGAUGAUUCUUUGUUGCAACAGUAAUCCUGCUCAGUAUGAGAGGAACCGCAGGUUCAGACAUUUGGUGUAUGUGCUUGGCUGAGGAGCCAAUGGGGCGAAGCUACAAUCUGUGGGAUUAUGACUGAACACCUCUAAGUCAGAAUC
Chelonoidis abingdonii (Abingdon island giant tortoise) is the source of this 154-nucleotide non-coding RNA. Lineage: Eukaryota; Metazoa; Chordata; Testudines; Testudinidae. The record is from RefSeq and is a predicted model, not a curated record.